CAAGACCAAAGUGGGGGACCUUCGGGCCUCAUGCCAUCAGAUGUGCCCAGAUGGGAUUAGCUAGUAGGUGGGGUAACGGCUCACCUAGGCGACGAUCCCUAGCUGGUCUGAGAGGAUGACCAGCCACACUGGAACUGAGACACGGUCCAGACUCCUACGGGAGGCAGCAGUGGGGAAUAUUGCACAAUGGGCGCAAGCCUGAUGCAGCCAUGCCGCGUGUGUGAAGAAGGCCUUCGGGUUGUAAAGCACUUUCAGCGGGGAGGAAGGCGGUGAGGUUAAUAACCUCAUCGAUUGACGUUACCCGCAGAAGAAGCACCGGCUAACUCCGUGCCAGCAGCCGCGGUAAUACGGAGGGUGCAAGCGUUAAUCGGAAUUACUGGGCGUAAAGCGCACGCAGGCGGUCUGUCAAGUCGGAUGUGAAAUCCCCGGGCUUAACCUGGGAACUGCAUUCGAAACUGGCAGGCUAGAGUCUUGUAGAGGGGGGGAGAAUUCCAGGUGUAGCGGUGAAAUGCGUAGAGAUCUGGAGGAAUACCGGUGGCGAAGGCGGCCCCCUGGACAAAGACUGACGCUCAGGUGCGAAAGCGUGGGGAGCAAACAGGAUUAGAUACCCUGGUAGUCCACGCCGUAAACGAUGUCGAUUUGGAGGUUGUGCCCUUGAGGCGUGGCUUCCGGAGCUAACGCGUUAAAUCGACCGCCUGGGGAGUACGGCCGCAAGGUUAAAACUCAAAUGAAUUGACGGGGGCCCGCACAAGCGGUGGAGCAUGUGGUUUAAUUCGAUGCAACGCGAAGAACCUUACCUGGUCUUGACAUCCACAGAACUUUCCAGAGAUGGAUUGGUGCCUUCGGGAACUGUGAGACAGGUGCUGCAUGGCUGUCGUCAGCUCGUGUUGUGAAAUGUUGGGUUAAGUCCCGCAACGAGCGCAACCCUUAUCCUUUGUUGCCAGCGGUCCGGCCGGGAACUCAAAGGAGACUGCCAGUGAUAAACUGGAGGAAGGUGGGGAUGACGUCAAGUCAUCAUGGCCCUUACGACCAGGGCUACACACGUGCUACAAUGGCAUAUACAAAGAGAAGCGACCUCGCGAGAGCAAGCGGACCUCAUAAAGUAUGUCGUAGUCCGGAUUGGAGUCUGCAACUCGACUCCAUGAAGUCGGAAUCGCUAGUAAUCGUAGAUCAGAAUGCUACGGUGAAUACGUUCCCGGGCCUUGUACACACCGCCCGUCACACCAUGGGAGUGGGUUGCAAAAGAAGUAGGUAGCUUAACCUUCGGGAGGGCGCUUACCACUUUGUGAUUCAUGACUGGGGUGAAGUCGUAACAAGGUAACCGUAGGGGAACCUGCGGUUGGAUCACCUCCUUACCUUAAAGAA
This 1365-nucleotide ribosomal RNA is filed under the name Klebsiella pneumoniae. RNAcentral's name for it is "bacterial SSU rRNA". It matches the Rfam family "Bacterial small subunit ribosomal RNA", at positions 196 to 1533 of the family's 1533-position model. Lineage: Bacteria; Pseudomonadati; Pseudomonadota; Gammaproteobacteria; Enterobacterales; Enterobacteriaceae. The record is from RNAcentral.